ACUCAAAGGAAUUGACGGGGGCUCACACAAGCGGUGGAGCAUGUUGCUUAAUUCGAAGCAACGCGCAGAACCUUACCUGGGUUUGACAUGCAUGGAUCAACCUCCUGAAAGGGAGGCCACAGCCGCAAGGCCGGAACAUGCACAGGUGCUGCAUGGCUGUCGUCAGCUCGUGCUGUGAAGUGUCGGGUUAAGUCCUCUAACGAGCGCAACCCCUAUCGCUAGUUGCCAGCGGGUAAUGCCGGGGACUCUAGCGAGACUGCCGUUGUAAGACGGAGGAAGGUGGGGAUGACGUCAAGUCCUCAUGGCCCUUACAUCCAGGGUUGCAAACGUGCUACAAUGGUGCGUACAAAGCGACGCGAGGCCGCGAGGCGGAGCAAAUCGCAAAAAACGCACCCCAGUUCGGAUUGCAGGCUGCAACUCGCCUGCAUGAAGUCGGAAUCGCUAGUAAUCGUGGAUCAGCUACGCCACGGUGAAUAAGUUCCUGAGCCUUGCACACACCGCCCGU
Molecule: ribosomal RNA, 505 nt
Filed under: uncultured bacterium
Lineage: Bacteria
Description: partial 16S ribosomal RNA
Rfam family: Bacterial small subunit ribosomal RNA
Source: RNAcentral